Molecule: ribosomal RNA, 742 nt
Filed under: uncultured bacterium
Lineage: Bacteria
Description: bacterial SSU rRNA
Rfam family: Bacterial small subunit ribosomal RNA
Source: RNAcentral
AGAGUUUGAUCCUGGCUCAGGACGAACGCUGGCGGCGUGCUUAACACAUGCAAGUCGAGCGAUGAGAUCCCUUCGGGGAUGGAUUAGCGGCGAACGGGUGAGGAACACGUGAAGAAUCUGCCUUCAACUCUGGGAUAACACCGGGAAACCGGUGCUAAUACCGGAUAUGAGCCUUGAUCGCAUGAUCGGGGCUGGAAAGUUUUUCGGUUGAAGAUGACUUCGCGGCCUAUCAGCUUGUUGGUGAGGUAAUGGCUCACCAAGGCGACGACGGGUAGCCGGCCUGAGAGGGCGACCGGCCACACUGGGACUGAGACACGGCCCAGACUCCUACGGGAGGCAGCAGUGGGGAAUAUUGGGCAAUGGGCGAAAGUCUGACCCAGCGACGCCGCGUGAGGGAUGAAGGCCUUCGGGUUGUAAACCUCUUUCAGCAGGGAAGAAGCGAAAGUGACGGUACCUGCAGAAGAAGCACCGGCUAACUAUGUGCCAGCAGCCGCGGUAAUACAUAGGGUGCAAGCGUUGUCCGGAAUUAUUGGGCGUAAAGAGCUCGUAGGUGGUUAGUUACGUCGGAUGUGAAAAUCUAGGGCUCAACCCUAGACCUGCAUCCGAUACGGGCUAGCUUGAGUUUGGUAGGGGAGACUGGAAUUCCUGGUGUAGCGGUGGAAUGCGCAGAUAUCAGGAGGAACACCAAUGGCGAAGGCAGGUCUCUGGGCCAAUACUGACACUGAGGAGCGAAAGUGUGGGG